Long non-coding RNA from Gadus chalcogrammus (walleye pollock), 198 nucleotides. RefSeq lists it as uncharacterized. The record is from RefSeq and is a predicted model, not a curated record. The transcript is spliced from 3 exons. NCBI's taxonomy places the organism in Eukaryota, Metazoa, Chordata, Actinopteri, Gadiformes, Gadidae.
CUUGGGCCACCAUGGGGACAUUGAACACUUCCAGCCGCUACAUCCCUGCUCCACCACACUGUCUACACAGGGUUCUUUAUCAGACCAGGCCCACAGGAAGCAACAGGGAUCAAGCUUGAGCCAUGCCAAGCGUUCCUUCCACUGAGGACCGACCAGAGAGGAUUGGAGAAGCAGAGGUCCUUGAGAUCCACCAUGAAG